This 634-nucleotide unclassified non-coding RNA is filed under the name Hevea brasiliensis (rubber tree). Lineage: Eukaryota; Viridiplantae; Streptophyta; Magnoliopsida; Malpighiales; Euphorbiaceae. The record is from RNAcentral.
UUAUAAUUGAGCUGCAAAUCAUCUUUGAGGUUUCAGUAAAAGAACUUAAUUCCUUGGUAGAAAAAAAGAACUAAAGAACACCUUUUGAAUGAUCUAUAUGAUAACAAUUGGAUAAUUUCCAAUUGGAGCAUCUCUUGUGGGAUGAUCAAAGAGAACCUCAGUGCAGUAUUUCCAGCCUUGUUCAAAUGGAGAUGGUGUUAAUGCACAAUGCAAUGAAUUCCAUAUUCUUAAUUCUGAAAUGCGAUUAUAGUUUUGUGGGCGUAGGUUCCAGCUGCACUCUGGUUCACUGGAUGACUGAAUAACAUUUCACACAGCAAGAUUGGUCUCUAUGGCGGUACAUAUGGUGUUAAAGCUGGAGCUUUUUAUAGCAAUAGCAGGAAUACUAGUGAAUGAUUUGAAUGAAUAUCUUAUUGACUGCAGCAAUUAUGCUUAUUUAAGGAUAGAAGUAUUUUAUGUUCCUAGGAAUAGGAUCUCGUCACUAUGGCUUUAAAUCGUGCUUGCGGUUGCAUUCAUGGGUAACGGUAACGGGCUUGUAAUUGGCAUAAUGUAACGGUAAUGGUCUAGCGCUACGCAAAUUUUUCAAGUUUAUGAAAUGAGUAGAUAAUGGUAAAUACAAGUAAAAUUAAGAUACACA